CCCUGUGUGGAGGCCAAGUCACAUCAGAUGUCUUGGUCAGUCGCUCUCCACCUUGGUUCUUGAAGCAAAGUGUCUAAGUGUGGAACUCUUCAGUUUGGCUAGACUGGUGGGUGAACUCCAGGAUGCCCAUCUCUCCUUGCCGCCCCCUGCCACCACACCCAGCUCGUCACACGGCUGAUGGAGAUCUGCAGUCAGGGCCUCAUGCUUACCCAGUGAGCCGUUUCCUGACUGGGCCGUCUCUCCAGCGGCUUCUUCUGCCUUCUUUGGGCCUACCUGGGUUCAACUUGACAUGACUGCAGCUGUCAUUUGUUGGAGGUGCCAUGACUACCCCAGAGCAACUCUGCUUGUUUAUGGCAAAUAGUUUCCCAGCAGAACAUAGCUAGACAAAGCCGCCAGAGUGAAGGACAGAGCUGUACCCAGACCCUGGCUGAAGGAACACGCUGGACUCUUUGGUGUCAGCUUAAGAACCAGGCCAGAGAGACCAUGGGGUAGAGGUGCUCGCUGCCCAGCCUGGAAGACCCGACUUUAAUCCCUGGGACCCACGUGGUGGAAGGAGAAAACCAACUCCUGCAAGCUGUCCUCUGACAUCACACACACUGAAUAAGAAACAUAUGAAGCGAAGAAAAAGGAUUCCCGGGGAAACUGCAGAAGAAGAAAUGAGACAAAUGUUUGUUAUGAGCGGGCAGAGGAGGCUGGAGAGCUCUUUAGCUUCCUAAAGCAAACGCGGGGAGGAGAGGAGAAAGUCGAGGGCUGGAGGAUGAGGCAGGCACCAACCAAGAAAGACCAGGAUACAAGGGGCCAAACAGCACCAAAGCUUAGGGAGCCCGGAUGUUCCCGCGGUUAGCUGCCUUUGCGGCAGAAAAGUCUGCUCAGCAAAGCUCCUCCUUCUGCUUCCAUCCCCAUCUUCCUUCCACCCCAUCCCCCACCCCAUCCCCCCACCGCAUCGCGGUCGCCAGAGGCACCGCCUUCUGAUCUCUUCAUUCUGGUUCCCAGAAAUGGACAGUCAGGGCAUCUUACUUUCUAACGUUACAUACGAGGCAACAGGCGCCCCGCAUGCUGCUGGCGCUUCCCUUUUCUCUCUUUGGAAAAAUAAUAAUUGGUUAUUAGGCGCGUGGAUGAAUGGUGGUGGUCGGAGGCAC
Long non-coding RNA from Meriones unguiculatus (Mongolian gerbil), 1139 nucleotides. RefSeq lists it as uncharacterized. NCBI's taxonomy places the organism in Eukaryota, Metazoa, Chordata, Mammalia, Rodentia, Muridae. The transcript has 3 exons. The record is from RefSeq and is a predicted model, not a curated record.